Ruditapes philippinarum (Manila clam) is the source of this 638-nucleotide long non-coding RNA. RefSeq lists it as uncharacterized. The transcript is spliced from 4 exons. Lineage: Eukaryota; Metazoa; Mollusca; Bivalvia; Venerida; Veneridae. The record is from RefSeq and is a predicted model, not a curated record.
UUGGGAAGUACAUCUUUGACGUUAAUAGGUUGUAUAAAGCUAUGUCUCGAUUUCCGUUCUAGCCACAGACGUAGGAAUCUGUCACAAGUACAGGACCAGCGGAAAAAUACGUGAUGAAGCUGGUCGGUAUAUCCGCUCUGGCAUUGUUUUGCCUGCUUGUAGCCGGUGUCACCUGUAAUUACUACGGUGGUGGUGGGGGAUAUGUCCCUUAUUAUCCGCAGCAAACUAACAACAACAGUUGGUGGGGAAUUCUUCCACUUUUGUUCCUCCUGAUAUUCCUACCACUAUUCUCUCAGAGCAACGAUCAACUUGUUCUAGUGAACUCUACACUUGAAGGAUAAAAAGGGUUUCUGAUGAGUCCGGUUCACAAGUUAAUGCGAAAUGUCGACAUAUUUUUCUGACUUCAUGCGUCACAGAAUAAUUUCAAAUGAAUCACGACCUUGCGUACGAUGAUGCUGACUGUGUAAAGAGAUAUGGUCCCUCCCCCAGCUAGUUGUUGUACAUAUUUGUUGAUAGAGACGUUUUAUUUCAUCUUCUUCUUCUACGUUAACCACGUUAUGUUUUAUUUCACUUGGUUGUUUCUUGUUUCUUUUGUGAUCAUUUAUUAAUAAAAUAAUGUCUGCAGGAUACCAAAUAAU